RNAcentral lists this transfer RNA (70 nucleotides) under Dipodomys ordii (Ord's kangaroo rat). It matches the Rfam family "tRNA". From Rfam's summary of the family: Transfer RNA (tRNA) molecules are approximately 80 nucleotides in length. Their secondary structure includes four short double-helical elements and three loops (D, anti-codon, and T loops). Lineage: Eukaryota; Metazoa; Chordata; Mammalia; Rodentia; Heteromyidae. The record is from Rfam by way of RNAcentral.
GGGAAUGUGGCUUAGUGGAAGAGUGCUUGUCUAGCAUACAUGAAGCCCUGGGUUCAAUUCCUCAGUACCA